RNAcentral lists this long non-coding RNA (840 nucleotides) under Homo sapiens (human). Its description in RNAcentral is "HSALNT0053659". The record is from RNAcentral. Lineage: Eukaryota; Metazoa; Chordata; Mammalia; Primates; Hominidae.
UCCUCAUGCCUGACUAACUACCUACUGUAACAAAUUCACUUCUGGGUUCUAUUUGCCGGUACUUGAUUUAGAAUCUUUGCAUCAAUAUUUCACGCACUCCUGGCUUUAAAGUUUAUACUUGCAUUUGCCAUACCUGAUAAGCCACGGCAUAUCCAGAUGAAACUAGCCAGACUGGAAUUUGAGUCUUUGGAGGCACUCAAGCAGCAGCAAAUGAAGCUCGUGACCGAGAACCUGAAGGAGGAACCAAUGGAAAGCGGGAAGGAGAAGGCAACCUGAGUGCCCAGCGUGCCCAGCUGCCCUGUUGGCAGAGGCCUGUGUCUGUGCCACACCUGCCACGGUGGCAGGGGGGGUACCCGGGGCAGCAUCGUGGCUCCUGAACCCAGACCCAAUGCUUAGCCAAACGAAGUGGCUCCCAUGUGGCAAGCACCCUUCUCAGUUUCGCAGUGGCUUGGCUCGGGAUCCUUGGCAGUUCCCCCAGCCCCACCCUGUCUGCUCCUUCCCAGUUCCUUCCCGGGCCCCACACGCUGCUCCAGCUGCCAACUUUGCUGCAGAGCCACUGCCGCCCUUGAGCCUCUCACCAUGAGUGAGCCACCAGCUCUCCACGUUCCCCUCAUAGCAGUGUCACUCCCAACCCCACCAUGGCCCAGGGACCCGUGGACAGGUUGGGGAUGGGGUGUGUGCCCACUGUGCUCAUCACAGGAGCCUCAGUUGAGAGUGAGCGGGGUACAGUAAGGCAGUGCUUCCCACACUGGACCUCUUUCCUGGUUCUCUUUUGCAAUACAUUAACAGACCCUUUAUCAACAUAAACAAUAGUAACUGAGCUAUUAAAGGCAACCUCUC